Molecule: ribosomal RNA, 168 nt
Filed under: Staphylococcus aureus
Lineage: Bacteria; Bacillati; Bacillota; Bacilli; Caryophanales; Staphylococcaceae
Description: partial 16S ribosomal RNA
Rfam family: Bacterial small subunit ribosomal RNA
Source: RNAcentral
UUUAUGGAGAGUUUGAUCCUGGCUCAGGAUGAACGCUGGCGGCGUGCCUAAUACAUGCAAGUCGAGCGAACGGACGAGAAGCUUGCUUCUCUGAUGUUAGCGGCGGACGGGUGAGUAACACGUGGAUAACCUACCUAUAAGACUGGGAUAACUUCGGGAAACCGGAGC